GGACCUAGUGUAAAACCCCUCCCCCACAGGCACCCCAAAAGGGGAAAUCUGCGGAGGGAAGGGAACAGGAAGUUUUAGUGGCUGGGAGAGAUUCUGAAAAGGCUUUCCCAGGCAGCCCUGGUGGGUACAAGAGGCAAGGGCAGUUGGAUUCACCUAACUGGCCUCCACCUCCCUGAAAGGGGAUGCAGGAAGAAGGGGAGUGCCCUGGCCCACGGCUCCCUGCGUGACCUGGAGCCCCUCCAGGGCUUCGUCUGCCAGUCUGACCAAGGGUAGCAGAUGACAGGCUCUGAGAGGGCCUUUGAGGCCCUGACCUCAGGGUUCUAGGAGCCCGUCAUUGUAAGCAGCCUGACCUGGGGUGGGGUGGGGGUGGGGAGGGUGUUCCCGGCUCCCCCUCCCCCACAGACUGCAGCAGGAACCAAGGCCCAAGCGCCUUCUGAAGGCUCGGUCACAAAGCGCGGUAGUCGGUCACCGGUUACCACAUAAGCCAAGCCCUUGAUCUGCUGUGUUUGAGGAAACUCUUUGUUCCUUUCAAGCCUCUAUUCUCUCAGCUGGGGCUGGUGCACAGACCGAAGCACCACUAUUUUCGAAGCACUUGCUAGGCUGUGAACAAAGCAGAGUUCCUGACCUCCAUCCAACAUGUUGGGGAGACAGACAAUAAGCAAAUAAGCAGAGAGAACUACAUCGGAUGUCAGGUGGUGAGCAGAGCGAUGAAGAAAUAUGAAGCCGCGUAAAACAAUGGAGAGUGACAGGGUGUGGGCGUAGGCGCUCCUCGUAGGUAAGGUCAUCGGAGGAGGGCUUCUGGAGCACGACACUGGAGCAGAGACCUCGGUGAAGCGAGAGAAUCUCUGAGAGCCCAUCCCUCUGAGGCUUUGAGGCUAAACUGGUUUGACACUAACAUACUAAUCUGCGUUGUGUACGAUUCUAGAAUUCCACGACUCUAAGAACCUCUAACUAAAAUUACACAUUUCUACUGUUCUCGCCUCCCAUGAAAAUGAUUCUAGAAUUUUGUGAUUCUGAAAUGUUAGGAUUCACUGAAGCAUCUUUUUGCUUGAAUAGACCAGGAUUCAUUGCCUACCCUCUCCCCGCUACCCCCAGGAAAUGGAGCUGAAAAUAGAAACCGUCAAAACAACAAGCCAUUCCAGCUCUAAGUGCCAUAGUAAACAAAUGGUCCAAUGUUGCUCUGAUGGUUUAAUUGCAGCAGCUCCAGACAAGCCCAUUCAUGAGGGAUCAUCAGUUGAUGGAGAGGAGGAGUGAGCCCCUUGGGAGAAGGGGUGGCUUGCGGCCGGCCCUGGGGUGGGGCAGGUCUGUACCAGCGGCCGACGCUCUGGAUGUCUCUCUCUGGCCCCUUUGGCUUUGGGGAUCAAGAUGGUGGACAUUUUGACGAGGAGUGUCAAGAGAGGCCUCUCUGAGGAGGUAGCAUUAAAGCCGCACCUGACGACUGAUAGGAUGCCAGGUUCACAGCCGGGGGGGGCGGGGGGGGAGGGAAACAGUCCCAGGUAGAGAGAAUAGCAGAUUCAAAGGGUGAGAGAGCUUGGCUGGUUCCCAAAGCAAUUGGAGGAGAGGAAAAUGAGAUGAGAUCAGAAGGUCAGGAAGGGGCUGGAUCCUACAGGGGUUUGUCGGCUAGGAUUGGGAACGUGGAAGCUACUGGAAGGUUUUAAACAGUGAGUGAUGUGAUGUAAUUCCAUAUUUAAAAGAUCCUGGGUGCUCUAAGUACAGUGGACUAUGGGGGGGUGGGGCACGUGUGGAAGCUGGAAGGCCAGUAAGAGACUGCGGUGUUUGUCCCCGGAAGGAGUGGCAGCGGCUUGGAUCUACAUGGUAGCAGGUCGAUCCAUCUGUUCACCCAUCCCUUCUUUCUGCCCUCCCUUCCUCAUCCCUUCAUCGAUCCAUUCAUUAACCGAACACUUAUUAAGUGUCUAUGGGGAGCCAGGCACAAUGCUGGGCUUAUAAAGACGAAUUAAACGUGGUUUCCGACCGCAAGGAGCUCACAGAACGGCAGGUCCCUGACCCUGCAAUGUAACGGUAACGAAUGUCCCGGUGCAAAGUACCCCGCGGGCUCAUGGGACGUGAUUCACUGAGGCUGGGAUGUUGGAAAAGGCCUCGUGGAGGACAUGUUGGUGUCUGAGAUGUUGGAAGGUCUGAGAUGUUGGAGGGGCAGCUCGGGGAAGGGUGAGGAGGCAGCACGAGUGAGUGUCCUGCAAAUAUGUGGCUGUCCAGGUUGGUGGGAUCAACGACCAGGUGCGUGGAGGGACACCACAGGAAAGGGGUUCUGGGCCAGCUUGGGGAGGGGUGGGGACACAUGCCUGUGACUUCCUGCUCAGCUCCGCCUGCCCCUACCGGAGCAGAGUAAUUUAAUUAAGUACCAGCCCUUAAACAAGAUGCAGCUGUUUAGCAGAUGUUGCCUUUCACCCCAGAUGGAGGCACAUCUUGGCAACGGGCACAGCGUUUCCAGGGCGCUUAAUUUGUAAGGCUGCGGAGAGGAAAGAAAUUCAAGAUGCGGCCAUUAUUAUUUAAUGGCCAUCGUUCAUGACACACACCCCCACCCCCCCAGCACCAUGGCCACAUGGCCACCAUUCCUGUUGGCUCGGACUGGAGACAGAGGCAGGCCCCCGGGGAGGGUGAUUUGCUGGUUCUCACUCAGAGAAUAAGAGAAGAAAAGCGGAGGAAAAGGUCACCAAUCUGCAGAACCCCCAAGAACGUUUAUGUGAGUGGGAAGCAGCAACUUAUCCCUCACUUUGCGCGAAAGGGGCACAAUCGGUAACCACGAUCUAUUGAACUCUAACUCAAGAGCCAGGCGCUGUGCCAGGUGCUUACACAUACCUUGUCUCUGCCUCUCUAAUCCUCCCAACAGCCACGCUCGGUCCUACCUCAGGGCCUUUGCCCUUGCUUUCUCCCCUGGCGGAGGAACACUCUUCUUUCAGAGGCCCACAGGGCUAAUUCCCCAAAGACCUUCAGGCCUCACAGUAAAUGUCGCCUCCCCAUAGAGUCCUUCCCUGACCAGCCUACAUAAAAAGCACCUUUCUCCAUAAGUCUCCACCCCUUACCUUACUUGCUUGCUUUUCCUUUUCCUUCAUUACCAUAUAUAUAUAUAUAUAUAUAUAUAUAUAUAUAUAUAUAUCCUGUGUCUGUUUCUCUCCUCUAGAGUUUAAAUUUCCAAGGGCAAGGAUUUUUGUCUGUUUUAUUCCUUGCCAGCUCUCCAAUAUGCACAAGAAUGCCUGACUCAAGACAGAAUCCUAUAAAUAUUUGUUCAAUGGGUAGAGAAAUGAUCAAUGGAUCUCACCGAACAUAUAAAAAGAUGGUCAGGGAGACAAAAUUACUCUCCCAAGAGUUACACAGCCGGCAAGGGGUGAGUUGGGAUUUGAGUUUGGGUCUGUCCCUUUCCUUGGGACGUUUCCUUUUCCGUAGCACUUAUCACCACUUAUGUAUUAUUUCUGGGCCUGUGUUUGGCGUCUCUCUCCUCUCCCACCGGAAUGGGGGCUCCAGUGAGAACAGAGUUCAUGUGUUUUGCUCAUAGUUGUCUCCCCAGCACCCAGACAGCGCUCCCCAGCACCCAGGAAGCAGCUCAUAAAUAUACACUGAGCGACACUUCAUUCUCACAAGUAAUCCUGCAAAGUAUGCUUCCUCUGUGCUAUUUUACACAUGGGGACAUUGAGGCUCAACCAGAGAAGUGAUUUGCCUUGCUUAAGGUCAACUGGCUAAUGAAUAGAGAGCUGGGAUUUGAACCCAGGCCUCCUGAGCUCAUUGGUCAUGGAGAAGGGGACCCCCAUUUAACGCUUGCUGGUUCGACUCACCCAAAGGCAACAGCUGCUUGGCCGAAAGCUCCACUCACACCCUACCAGGGAAGGCAUUUCCCCCUCAAGGUCAGCAGUGUCAGGGCCGAUGUGAAACUCACCCUUAAUGCACAACUCCCCAGUUUCGUCCAUUUAAGUGAAAACUUUGAUGUUAUUUUAACCCAAAUCCCCCGUUGACUUCAAUGGAAGCUUUGAAUCCACGAGGAAGGUCAGACAGUGUUUUUGGAGGUAACAUGGGCACCCAAUGGAAAUCAUAUUAGCAUACUCAUUAUCAUCAGGGCCCUUUGAAUGUGUUUUUUAGCUGCUCCCUUAAAGUUGACUUGGUGACAAUGGAUCCUUUCUGUUCAGGAAUCACUGGGCCAGAGUGGAGCUGCGGUCGGCUCCUGUGUGCUUUUCUGUGCUUUUCAAAUGAUGACAGUGAACCCAUGUUGCAUAAGGUAAUGGAAAGAACGCCAUCCACCAGGCACCCUGGUGGUGAAUGAAGUACAUUGUCUGGGUUUGAAAGAAAUAACUCUUUAAGUCACUUGUGCUGGGACCCCAGGGAUGGGCUCAGGUAACAAAAGGUGUUGCUAAACGGCCUUCCAAGAAAGCUGGCCCCUGUUAACGGGAGGCCCCUGGGCGCAGCAAAAAAAAUAAAAAAUAAAAAAAAAUUAAAAAAUCAGGGAUUGGCCUUGGUUGACAAGAUGGUUGUUCAACUUGAGAAAAUUCCAGAAUUGCCUGGGGAGCAUUUACUACACCCAGUGCCCAGCGCCCCCACAUCAGACCAUUUGGUUCCAAAUCCUGGGAAGUGGGGAGACCAGAAGGCAUCAAAGGUUUCUAAGUGUCCUCAGAUGACUCCGGUAGGCCAAGCGGCAGCUAGGAAAUGUUCAAACUACGGAAAAGUGGACAGAAUCGUACGACGACCCCACUACCUGGUACCAGCCUCAUCAAUCAGCAACACGGAGUCCCUCUGGUGUGAGGGGGUUUAAGAAUCCCUAAUUUCAGCAGGACAUGUGGCAGCCCAGAAUGAAGAUUACACUUCCCUGCUUUCUUCCCGAAUCCUAGCCAUGCUGGACCAUGUGAUGAAUUAAAGAUGGCUACUGAUUCUUUGGUCCUUCUUCCUUCAAGAGGAAGAGUUUGUUUGGACUUCCCCUCCUCUUAAAUCUGGGCUGGCCUGUGACUUAUUGGACCAACAGAAUACAGUGGAAAUGAUGCUCUGCCAAUUCCGGACGUUGGCCCUUAAGGAAACUGGCAGAUUCUGCCAUGGUCUCUUGGAUCCAUGGCUGACAAGGAAAAGGUCCAACCACUCUGCUGGAGAGACCCCCCUGGAGAAGCCCUAAGACCUCACGGAAAGGAAUGAGGGACCCGGCUGAGCUCAGCACUGCGGUCUUCCCAAACCAUCUUGGUCCUCCAGAUAAAACCAAUCAUCAGCUGAACGCGGCCAAGUGACUAGUCAACGCCCAUGGAUCAGAAGGACCGCCCAGCUGAGCCCUGGCCGAAUUUCAGACCCGCAAAACUGUAGAAAAUAAUAAACAUGAUUAUUGUUUGGGGAGUGUCUGUUGGGUACCAAUACAUAACCAGAACAGACCAUGAGAUAGAAGGUAUUUGUUGAGGAUGCUGUAACAAUUACACCAUCUGGAGGUCUGGCCGCCUCCGGAUAGUUUGUCCUACACGAAAAGUAGACUCUGUUUGUUUAAGCUUUGAUGAUACCUUGGGUCGUGGCUCAUGGCCUCAGUUUCCCCACAAUUAUUCAUUGGAGCAUUAACGCCUGCCCUGUUACCUCCUUUUGCAUGUAAUACAAACAGUGCGUAUCCAAAAAGACCAUGGGGCAUGCCCAAGUCGUUAUGAUACAUUUCAUGUGUCCGUAAUCGGAUACGAACUUGUCAGGGGGCCAACUGCAAUGGGUUUUGGAAUCAGAUAUGUUGGGACUGGAGGCUCAACUCUGCUACUUUCUAAUGUGAAAAAUCGGACCAGCCACUGAAUCUCUCUGAGCUUUGUUUCCUCAUCAAUAAAAAACAGACGAUGCCUA
Acinonyx jubatus (cheetah) is the source of this 5796-nucleotide long non-coding RNA. RefSeq lists it as uncharacterized. The record is from RefSeq and is a predicted model, not a curated record. Lineage: Eukaryota; Metazoa; Chordata; Mammalia; Carnivora; Felidae. The transcript is spliced from 5 exons.